This 925-nucleotide ribosomal RNA is filed under the name uncultured fungus. RNAcentral's name for it is "eukaryotic LSU rRNA". The stretch from base 277 to 925 matches the Rfam family "Eukaryotic large subunit ribosomal RNA", at positions 1 to 664 of the family's 3401-position model. Lineage: Eukaryota; Fungi. The record is from RNAcentral.
AUCGAUGAAGAACGCAGCGAAAUGCGAUAAGUAAUGUGAAUUGCAGAAUUCAGUGAAUCAUCGAAUCUUUGAACGCACAUUGCGCCCCCUGGUAUUCCGGGGGGCAUGCCUGUUCGAGCGUCAUUUCAACCCUCAAGCUCAGCUUGGUCUUGGGCUCUGCCGGUCAUACGGCUUGCCUUAAAAACAGUGGCGGUGCCGUCGAGCUCUACGCGUAGUAAUUAAACCCUCGCUUCUGACCUCGACGAACGCUUGCCAGCAACCCCCAAUUUCUAUGGUUGACCUCGGAUCAGGUAGGGAUACCCGCUGAACUUAAGCAUAUCAAUAAGCGGAGGAAAAGAAACCAACAGGGAUUACCUCAGUAACGGCGAGUGAAGCGGUAACAGCUCAAAUUUGAAAUCUGGCUCUUUCAGGGUCCGAGUUGUAAUUUGUAGAAGAUGCUUCGGGUGUGGCUCCGGUCUAAGUUCCUUGGAACAGGACGUCAUAGAGGGUGAGAAUCCCGUAUGUGACUGGUUGCCUCCGCCCAUGUGAAGCUCUUUCGACGAGUCGAGUUGUUUGGGAAUGCAGCUCAAAAUGGGUGGUAAAUUUCAUCUAAAGCUAAAUAUUGGCCAGAGACCGAUAGCGCACAAGUAGAGUGAUCGAAAGAUGAAAAGCACUUUGGAAAGAGAGUUAAACAGUACGUGAAAUUGUUGAAAGGGAAGCGCUUGCAAUCAGACUUGCACGUUACCGAUCAUCCGGGGUUCUCUCCGGUGCACUCGGUUGCGUUCAGGCCAGCAUCGGUUUGGGUGGUUGGAUAAAGGCCUUGGGAAUGUAGCUUCUUUCGGGGAGUGUUAUAGCCCUCGGUGCAAUGCAGCCUACCCGGACCGAGGACCGCGCUUCGGCUAGGAUGCUGGCGUAAUGGUUGUAAGCGACCCGUCUUGAAACACGG